GUUCUGGGGAUCGCCUGUGGCUCGGGGGCGGGGGAUGAUAAAUCCCCCUUGGAAAGCUCAAGCAGGUGGGGGCAGCCGGUUGUGCUGCAGAUCUGGGGUUUCUGUGAAGUCCCUGAGCCCGGAGAAACGCCCUGGGUGUGAGGACUUGGAAGGUAGGGACCAAAUUAGUAGCGGGGAGUGCUGCAGUAUACCCAAACCUGAGAUCGCCUAAGAAACCGUGCCUUUUCCAGACCCAGAAUGGCCUGCAACGGCAGCGCAGGUGGACAUUUGGGUGCCCUGCAAUUGAGAUAAGACAAGGAGAAAUCGCAUACUGCAAAAUACUUUUCUUGUAGCAAGAAAGUAAUUUCAGGUGUGAACAGAAACUCAGUCACUUGAUCUUCCUGUAACCAGUGAUGUGAUUAAUUAUAUCUGGGAAAUGGGUGUAAAUGCAAAACAUUUGUGAAUGGAAAUGUGUAAAAAAUGCAUUAAGAUGUGGUUUUGGUUUGGGUUGUGUAUGAACCUGCAUCCACCUCUUGUCUGCAGUCAGCCUGAUUUUGUGAUUGAUCGUGCUCGCAGGGGCCUUCCUUGGCCAGUGUGUUUCAACCGUAUUGCAACAGGAGAUGGCAGAGUUCCCAACCGAGAGCAUGGCAUGCCAAUGUAAGAAAAAGAUAUGCUUUAUAUUCUCCUUACCCUAGUGGUUUCCUUCAGAAGUAUGAAUAUUGCUGUCCCUGCGCUUGUUUCAGCUGAACAGCGUACUUUCUUGUUUAUUUCUUCAUUCCAUAGGCACAGAAAUUCUUGGUUGUUCUGGCAGUUUGUCUCUCUUUCCAGAAUAUGGUGUUCUCUUUGCUGGUAAUUCCUGUUAUGAACUGGUAUUUCUUGUUCAAUAUUAUCUGUGUUUUAUGCUUGGCUGGCUGCAAGGUUAGCUCCAAGCAUGGCUUUCCAGGAGAUACGUAAUCACUCUCUUUCAUCAGCCUAAAUGCUUGCUUUAAACUACUGAAUUCCUUUUGGUUUUCCAUAGCUUUUAUUUUUUUGUAGUGUCUUAUGGCACACAAAUCCUUUAUCCUUUUCACCCCAGAUUUGGCUAAAUACCUUAAUUACAAAGUCAUUUAGUUGUCUGUUUUAGUAAAUGUGUCUGUAAUUGUCUCAUGUUAGUAGACUGGUAUUUGCUAAGCUACUACAGUUUGUUUGGGGAUGAAAAUUACAUGCAAAAUAGAAACAUCAGUAUCUCCACUCCAUAAUCUUGCCUUAAUUUUCUCACUUAUCAAGUUGAUAUCAGUAAUUAAUGCUCCAAAAACUUAAACUGCAUUUGUUGGUAUUGGUUCAUCCAAGAUCUUCUCGGCUAAUCCCUGUAUUUUUAAUGCUGUUAGUCCUAGUUUCCUUUCAAGUCCCGAGUCAUUCGGUGUGUGAUACUCUCUCUUUCCUGCAACUGGCAAGUCAAUAGCAGAGCUAAUCUGUUUUGAUUCAUAUUGUGAGGAUGCCACAGGAGUUGAACAAUGUCAGUUGUGCAGUUGCUGUGCGUUUGCGUCUUUUACUCUGGAGAAGGAAAAUAGCCAAAUGAAGAUGAGAUGAGAGGGGGAUUCUGAGAGACGAGGAAGGGGACUGUCCAGAGCAAGACAAAGUUGAGAUAGCAAAGAUCAGAGAUGUAGGCUGUUGUGGAGUAACGUGGCUAAAGGAGUAAAUGUCAUGGAGAGAAAUGACUCCAGCUAUGCAGGCAGGAGGACAGUGCAUUCUGCGUGAGAGCUGCUUCUUGUGUCUUCCCAGCUCAGCUAGUUUGUGUCCGUGCAGCUUGCAGUCAGAGAGUAGAAAGGACAUUGAGAAGGAAGAGGCAAUAAGCCAUGAGGAAUUGCUGCAGGUGCAGAGUGUCUUGCUACAGCAUUUCUGACCAUUGGUGGUGGUCCAUGCACCCAGGAGUGCUGAGGGAGGUGGCUGAUGUCAUUGCAGGACCACUUUGAAAGAUCACAGUAAUCAGGAGAGGAUUCUGGUAACUGAAAAAGGGCAAACAUCAUACGCAUUCAAGAAGGGUAAGAAGAAGGAAUGGGCAACUCUAAAACACUCUGUUUAGCCUUGGGUCUCUGGGAGAUGAUGGCACACCUUCUCCUGGAAACUUUGUUUUAAGCAUGUGAAGGACAAGAAGGUGACUGGGAACAGCCAGCAUGGAUUUGACAAGGGCAAUCAUGCCUAACCAACCUGAUUGCCUUCUGUGAUGAGACUGGCUCACAGAACAAGGGGAGAGCAGUGGGUGUUGUUUAUCUUGACUUUAGCAAGGCCUUUGACAUGGUCUCCCAUAUUAUCAUCUUACCAAAUUGCUGAGGUAUGGAUUGGAUAAAUGGACUGUAAUUUGGAUGGAAAAUUGCCUGGAUUGUUGGGCUCAGAUGAUGGUGAUCAGUGGGCUAGCACACAGAGUGUAAGAGAAGAGGCUGAGAAGACUGUUUGUUAUCACACAAUAAUUUUAGGAAAAUAAAUACUUUGCUCCUUAGGGAAAUAAAUACUGUGCUCCUUAAGAAAUAGAUUUAUUUUGGUGGGAAGAGGAAACCAGACUGGUUGUAGAAAGCAAGUUAAAAACAAACAUUGAAGUUUUAGGAGAUUAUACACGUUCUGAGGUCUUUUAAAACCUUGUAAUUGAAAGCACUCUCUUAUUCACUGGUUUAAAUGCUUGUUAAUGCCAGUCCCUCCUUAAAGUCCAGGCAAAAUCAACAUAUCUCUAAGUUCUUGACUAUUUCUUUGAGACAUAUUUGCCACUGGAACUUUAUUGCCUGGGUGCUGGAGCUGUUCCCUCUUGUCUCAUAGUGGUCUUCUGGUAACUUAGGUUUUCAUCUGUGUUUUUCUUUUUCUGCAUCUUGAGCAAAGUAACUUAGUGGAACAUGCAAGCUUUGAUACACAACAGGUUUUUUUUUUUUUUUUUCCUAAAGCCAGAAAUUUACCACUAAAAAAACCCCACCAUACGACUUUCACCAAGUAUACUCGAAACAUUGUAAUUACAGAUGAUCUAGUUUCACAGCUCACAGACAAAGAAAAUGUGUUUGUUUUACUUUAUUAGAUUUCUUGUAAUAUGUUCAUAUGAAACCAAAUGUGCAUAUACACACUCUGUCAAUACUGCCAACUGCAAUUUAUUAAGUUUUAUAAAUUUUUUCCACUAGGUCACUGUAUUGUUAACCAGACAUUGAAUGCAGGAUCAAUGCUGAAGAUGGGAAGGCUAAAUUUCAAAGUAAACAGUCUCAUCUUUCUCUUAAUAAGUUUAUAAGGGGCAUUUUUGAGGAAGUCUUAAUUAAUCAUAGGCCUAAAACCUCUCUUAAUGUGGUUGUAUUUUUCUAACAAGAAAAUAAGAAAGGGAAGGUGUUUGGGCAUAAGCUGUAGCUCACACUGCCGUUUCAGUCUUCCCUGACUGCUGCAAAGCCCCUCAGUCAGUCAUUGUAAUCCAGAGCUGGAACUGGGACCGCGUUCUGGGGAUAUAUCUUGUUGCUUUGUGAUGAACUCUGAGGCCCUGGGAGAAUCUCUUGGUGUUGACAGCCCCUGACAGUAAAUGUCACAUGAAUUCGGAGGGAGCUCACAGCCUUCUGGUGACUGCUAUGAGAAGAGACAUGGUGACAGAAAACCUGAUUGAUGAGCCAUGCCACAAGUAGAGGGAGCGCUGUGUGGUGAUUGCUUAUAAUUGAAUGGUCCACGGAAGUUAUUUCUGGGUUUCCUAUGAAUGGUGACAUACACUCCAGAAGUGUUUUCACAGGGUAGGCCUGCAGAUUUUAACCCUGGUACUCAGCAACUCCCUGUUAACGCAGCGUUAACAGACUUUAAAACUUAACGGGCUGUUUUAGCUUCAUGCCUAGCAUAAUAAUGAAACAAAUGACAACCGGAGAUGGUCAGUCAUGCAAUUACCUUUAGAAAUGUUCCUUUGUCAGCUUUUGCCUUCUCUUUUUAGUGCUUUCUCCUUCUGUCUCAGCUCUGUGAUCUGACAACGCAGAGAUGUUGAUUAUCAAGGUUCUUCCCGAUUCUGACAAUGCGCUUCUCUGACAUGGGCUUGUCGCAGCCAUGUUAAGCACAGCGGUGAUGCUCCUGGCAUUAAAUGGGAAUGUGAGACGUUAUAGCCCACUCACCCAGCAAAGCAUCUGCUCACACUGACCAAUUAAAUUGGCUUCUCUCUCAUUAAAACCCUCGUGCAGACUCUGGUAUGUCACAGAUCUUUAAAAUCUCCAUUAUGAAUUCCACUUUCUUCUGGGUAUUUUUAGCUUAUACUUGAAGAAAUGAUUAUUGUCUCUUGCGCUUAAACAUAUCAAUUUCAGCUCCACAGACAUCUCCUCUGGGCCAUAUUCAAAGACCUGAGCUGACUUGAACUGCUGGAUCUGUAGGGAGGAUUUCAGCACAGCUCUAAGCGCUUGGACAUUGGAGCCAUGCAAGGAGGAAGAGCGAGAGAAAUUCAAGCCCUCCCCCCUUCCCUUUGGGAAGGAAGUGGCUUGCCAGGGCCGGAGAUGGUGGGAAUUCUGGCCCUGGAACAUCAGCUUCUCUCUCCAACCUACAGUGGACAAAAUGACAGCAAUACUACAGCACAACCAUUUAAUUCAAUGGAUCCUGUGGGAAGCUCAGCUAUAGCUGGUUCUGAUCAAUAUUGCCUGUCAACCUUUCUUGAGGAGCAGUACUUGAGACUGGAUAUGCCUCUGCACUGAGGCGUUACUGAGUACAGCAAAGGACCUGCAAGAUGCCUUGUAGUGAACCAUUGGAAACUAACUCUCAGAGUGCAGAUUCCAACCAGAUUUGUGUCAUGACUUUAGCCAGGGAAUUCUUGCACUCAUGAAUGUCAUGUGGGACAAUGUCAGGAGCCUCAGUGACAUUGAGUCUCCCUGCAGGAGGGAUGGAAGAUGGUAAAUGUGACAGCAAUCCCUGAGAAGGUCCCCAGGAGUGAAGAAUUGCAGACCGUCACACUGAAGUCUGUACUGAGCAAAUUAGAAACUCUGGCCUCAAACUGCUCUGGGUAUGUGCUGAGAGCUAUGUGGGCAAUGAAGACAGUAGCUGAAGCAAUUACUGAAGCAUUAGUGACUUCCCUGGAAGCUCUUGGAAGGCAGGUAGGAUCGCUGAGCACUACAGAAAGGCAAACACAGUUUACUUUUUUGAAAAAGGGAAAUCAGGGAAUUAGAGACCACUUUCACCAGAAAUAAGUCUGAAAAAAUAUUACGUGAUCAAUUUAAAGCAAGUAGAAGAUAAAAAGGAAAAAAACAAACAUAGAUUUACCAAGAAUAAAUCAUGCGAUCUUACUGUAAUUUCCUUCUUUGAGAAAAUAAUGUCUAGUAGAUGAAGAGGAGGCAGCAGAUGGGACAUAUUUUGCUUUAGGAAAGCUUUUGAAACUGUUCCACUUGAUUCUCUCAGAAGCAGACUAAAGAAAUAUGGUCUAUAUCAGUGUGCCCAGUAUUUCUGGCUGGGUGAGACACUUACCUUGUUUCUGUAUAAGGGAGAGACCAUAUGUUGCAGCCCUUCCUCUAAUGCAUAACUGUAUUGUGCAAGCAUAGAAAAGCCAGUGCUUCCUGGGGCAAUGAGAUUUAUUGCAUAUGUGCAGACAGAUUCACAUACUGCCAUGAACAGAGGCACUAAGUGGGCUCCCGGCAAAGAUGGCCCGCAGUAUACUCAAAAUAGUCCAUCAAGCGGGCAGCCCUCCUCCCUGUGGACUUGAGUCUGGUUCCAGAAAGGGGUGAGGGAGACCACAGCCAAAUUCAUUGUCCUAGCAGGUGCUGUGCAGUUCAUAGCUUGAGGUUCAUCAUUUAGAAGGUACGUGAUAUUACUGUAAUGUGGGUGGCAAUGGUGCACUGUCAGAUUGGGAGGUUAUUUUGACUGGAGUCCUGCUGGCGUGUGUCCUGGGCCCAGUUCUAUUCAGUUUUUUAAUUAAUGACCUAUAAGAUUUAACAAAGAACUCACUCAUAAAAUUUGUGGAUAAACCAAGAUGCACUUUGAAGGUCAGGAUCAGACUUCCAAUGAUUUUGAGAAACUGGAGAAGGUGAUCCAGAAAUCAAUAGUAUGAAAUAAAAAGAAACAAGUGCCAUGUGCCACAUUUAUGAAAGAGGAAAGAAAUAUCAAAAUAUAAAAAAAGGUAUAACUGACUGCCUGAAGCAUGCCAGGAAAAGAUAUGGGAAUUAGAGAAAAUAAAAACUUAAACAUGAGUGAGCAAUCAUGAAACUCUCAUACCGGGAGAUGUUGAUGAAAUGUAUUAAAACAUGAGAGAAAGUCUCAUUUUCUGCAGUGCUGUUGAGGCCUUUGCUGGACUUUUGUGUCCACACUUAGUGCUAGAGGGAUCUGGUGAUGUGAAUGAUGUGGGUACUGACAACAGAGGAAUGAGUAGGAAAGGAAUUUUGAAAGUGGAAUCACAGUGUUAUAAAUUGCCACAGUACCAGACAAGCAGAUUCUUAGUCAUUGGUGAGGUAGUUUUUACAGGAGAGAUAAGCUAUAUAAAUCAAUGUGAAACUAGAUUGCAAACUAGGUUUUAACAUUCAAAAGCAAUGAGGUAUUUUUAUAGUUGACGGUUGUGGAAACUCACCAAAUAAGCAACAGCACAUGGUUCAAGAUCGCAACUCCUCUUCAAGAGAAAUAAGAAAAUUCUUGUAAUUUAGAAAAAUGGAAGGAACUGAAAUCAAUAACAUUGAGGAAGGAAAUAGCAAAGAAUGGUCUCAGCAAUUAAAGUCCCAGCUAAGCAGGCCCCAUGAAAAAUGGGCAACUAGAUCAAUACAAAAUGUAGAAAUAUAUCUAUACAAAUGCUGCAACUCUGAAACCUAGAAGAAGUGAACUAGAUUGUCUGAUUUUAAAGGAAGUUAUUGACAUAAUAAAUGCCUCAGAAACUUGGCAGAAGGGUAGGAAACUGUAAUAAUAGGGAACAAAUUAUAGAGGAAGGCUGGAAAGGGGUGCAUUAGUGGUGAAGCAGUGGAGAGUAUGAGGAAUUGUCCCUAAAUGAAGUUUCAGCAGAGGACAUUUUGGAACAAAUCAAUAAAAUGAACAGUAAGAAGGCACCAAGAUAAGAUGAUACUCAAUCAAGAGUUCUGAAAGACCUCAAACACUAGAUUAAGAGAAAGCUAAAUGUAGCAUGAAAAGUGUCAUUUAAGUUGACCACACUGCAAGAAGGAUGGAAAGUGGCAAAUGUGUCUUCAGCCUUGAGAAAAAGGACUCCAGGACAAAUGUGGAAAACCACAGAUCAGUAAAUCUCACUUCCAAACUGAGUAAGUGGGUAAAAACUACAAUAAUAAAGAAGAGAACGAGUAGACAAUUUCAUAAAUGUGAUUUAUUUGGAAAAAGUCAUUACAGUUCUUGCAGAAGGAGACCAUGUCUCAUAAAUCUAUUUGAACUCUUUGAAGAUGUCAACAAGCUUGUAGGUAAGGCUGAUCUAGUUGAUAAAGUGUGUAUGGACUUCCAAACAAAUGUCAAUAAGUCUUUCUGCAAAGACUCUUCAAGUAGUUAAGCUGAGAUAAUAAGAUGUCCUCUUGUAAGUAAAUAAGACGGAGACAAAAUGGGACAAAAAGUGGGAGAAAAGAUCAGUUUUCCCAGUGAAAGGAGCUCUACAGCUUAGUCAUGCAACUGUUUGAUUUAGGACCUGUGCUUUUCAAUAUCCUUAUAAAUGAUUUGGAAAGGGGGGUGAAUAUUGCAGGUGAUAUCCACAAGGUUUGUGGAUGACACAGAAUUAGCUGAGAUGGUCAAAUUUGACCUUGAGAAGCGAGGCAGAUGGUUCUCAUGGCAGUGAGUGACUGUGUCAGAAACAGCAUGUGAAAGUCAAUGCUAAUCAAUGCAAAGUAGUUUGUCUGGGAAUAUACAUAUUCAAUUAUAUAUUGUACGUAUUCAAUUAUGGAUUGGACAUUACAUUGUUAUCACUCAGAAAUAGAGUUGCUGUAGGAUAGCUCUAUGGAAACAUCGAUGCAGUGACCACAGCAAUAAAAAAUUCAAACUGAAUGAGAGAAAUUUUUAGAAAAGGAAAAAGGGAAAAGAAAAAUAUGAUUAUGUGAUUAUGUCACUGUAUAAAUGUUUGGCAAACUCACGUAUAGAUUAAUAUGUGCAGUUCUGUUCCUCCUUUCUUCAUAAAGAAUUGAAUAGAACUAAAAACGAUGGGUGGGAGUUAUUUAGCUCAGAGAUUUAGACACCUAAAUUUAGAUUUCUACCUGUAGGUGUCAAUCUAUGAGGUAGAUAUAAAAACUCCAACAGUAAAUCAAAGCUUUUUAAUCUGAAUUCCACCCACAAAAAAUGGAUGAGGACAGAAUGGUUUUCAUAUCAGGACAGAGAAAAUAGUCAGGCAUGGGACAGAGAUCUUGAGAUCUCCUAGCUAGCUAGGAAACAAUGAAGAGGGGAUGGCUAUUAUUUUUAACAGUAGGAGAAGUUAAGGAUACCCCAUGAAAUUAUGAGGCAUCAGGUCUAAACCAAGAAGUCAUACAUUCUCAUAUAACUUAUUAUUCAAUUGUAGAAGUUAAUGCCAGAUACUGUUGCGUAGUUCAAAAGUAUAAAUGAAUUAAGAAUUUCUGGAAGGCUGGUGAUGUGCUGGUUUUGGCUAGGGUAGAGUUAAUUUUCUUCAUAGUAGCUGGUAUGGGGCUAUGUUUUGGAUUUGUGCUGAAAGCAGUGUUGAUAACACAGGGAUGUUUUCGUUGCUGCUGAGCAGUGCUUGCACAGAGUCAAGGCCUUUUCUGCUUCUCACCCCACCCCACCAGUGAGGAGGCUGGGGGGGGGCACAAGAAGUUGGGAGGGGACACAGCUGGGACAGCUGACCCUGACUGACCCAAGGGAUAUUCCAUGCCAUAUGACAUCAUGCUCAGCAUGUAAAGCUGGGGGGAGAAGAAGGAAGGGGGUAUGUUUGGAGUUACAGCGUUUGUCUUCCCAAGCAACCGUUACACGUGAUGGAGCCCUGCUUUCCAGGAGAUGGCUGCCCAUGGGAAUGAAUUCCUUGUUUUGCUUUGCUUGUGCGUGCAGCUUUUGCUUUACCUAUUAAACUGUCCUUUAUCUCAACCCAUGAGUUUUCUCACUUUUACUCUUCUGAUUCUCUCCCCCAUCCCACCAGGGGGGAGUGAGCAAGCGGCUGUGUGGGGCUUAGUUGCCGGCUGGGGUUAAACCAUGACAGAUGGGAAGUCAGUGUCCUGCCAAACAGAAUUACGAAGGCUCAUUCAACUGUCAAAAGCCAGGUAGAGGUACGUGGGAAGGACUCCGAGGCAGCUAAGUAGGACAAUAAAGGCAAUUUCUAAGCCAGAACAGAGACCGUGAGUGAGAAACUGGUGUGCGUCCCACCAAUAGCUCUUCUUGUGGUCAGUGGGACACCAUGAAGAGAGAACCACAACUGGGAUCUCAGGAGUAGAAAGUGUGGUAUACUCUAACGUAGACUUUGGGGGAAGGAGAGGGAAAGGGAGAGAGAGAAAUCCUGUGCAGAAAUUUUAGAAAAUGAGAGAGACUGAUGAUAGCUGUAAAACAACAGCCAUUAGCAUAUGUAAUGUCCAGAACAUGGAAACAAGAAGCAGUGUUUAUAGCUCAUGAUCUUCAGCACCUCAGAGUUGAUGGAAUGAAGAAAAUCCUAGAAGCCGCUAGCAGUACAGUGUUCCCAGGGCUUGCAGCCAUUUACACUCCUGCCUGGGGCUUUGAAAUGUAACUACUAGAAUUCACUCGCUAAAUCUAGUCUUUACUAGAGCAAUGCUCUAGUGGUUUUUGAAGGCUUAGAUUGCUAACAGCCACAUUCAGUCCAGCUUAUCUUGCUCUGUCCAAACUCCCUGGGUUUCACUGACCAGUGGUAUUUCAGUCAUUACUGAAGUUGCAGAUGGGUUCCUGAAUGCAAUCAAUAAUGACCCGAACAUGGUCAGUUUGGAUGGAUUGUCUCAGAGGAAUAGCUAACAAGAUAUGCAGGGCUGUGGAGAGUAAGGCUGGAGAACAUCUCUAGCUCUCCAAUGUGGGGCAGAAUUGAAUGAUGAAUGUGGCUACCACUGUAGAUUAGUUUAGUAUAAAGCUGUGUAUAGUGGUCCCAAACUUUCCUCUUUCAAUCCUGCUUUCAUUUUCCAUUUUGUUUGGAUGUAUUUCAUCAUUCGUUUUGUGCUUUAGAAAAAUACUUGUUUCUGUUUUGAGUUACCCCGCUGGCUGUCCCGAGGGCGUUUCCACCAGGCUCUUAAAUGGUUGCAGGUACUUUCUGUGUGCUUAGGCAGCCAUGAAUGUGGCUCCACAGACCUCAAAAGGACUUGGAGUACUCUGGAAAGCAGUAUUGCUCAUCUGCAGAGUGCAAACUCAGAGAAUGAUGAUUUAAUUAGAUUGGUAGCACUGCUUAAAAGCAAAAUUGGAAUCUAAUGCAACUGUCUUUAAAAUACACUUCAGUGUUACAUAAGAAGCCCAUAAUAAAAAUAGAAGUGGAAACCUUUAAACGAGGGUAAAUUUGAUGGCAACUUUUAUAUCUUUCAUUGUAAAGCAUGCUGAGUUGCAGCAUGGUAAAAUCCAUUAGUACUUUGGCGAUUUUUUUUUUUUUUAAA
RNA transcript from Harpia harpyja (harpy eagle), 10421 nucleotides. RefSeq lists it as uncharacterized. The transcript has 7 exons. NCBI's taxonomy places the organism in Eukaryota, Metazoa, Chordata, Aves, Accipitriformes, Accipitridae. The record is from RefSeq and is a predicted model, not a curated record.